This is a long non-coding RNA of Rhododendron vialii, 290 nucleotides long. RefSeq lists it as uncharacterized. Lineage: Eukaryota; Viridiplantae; Streptophyta; Magnoliopsida; Ericales; Ericaceae. The record is from RefSeq and is a predicted model, not a curated record. The transcript has 3 exons.
GAAAAAAAAGGCGUGGAGAGAAGAAUCUGGGAGGAGAGGAUUGGUGUUAACGGAAGUCCUAAUCUCGGUUCGGAAGCGGCGACGAGCACUGUGACUCCACGUAGGGAGUGAGCUCGUGUUGGUACCUUUUUGGCUGGACCUCGAGUAUUUUCUUUUCAGGUGCGUGACGGCACGUGGGUCCACUGCAGAGUCUAGACAGGAGUUGUGUAUAUAGAAGUCUAGCUUUUUGACUCUUUUGAUUAUGUGCCUAUUUUUGGUGGUUGUAUAUGUUGUAAAUAUAUGUGGGCACA